Molecule: non-coding RNA, 1266 nt
Organism: Pelobates cultripes (western spadefoot toad)
Lineage: Eukaryota; Metazoa; Chordata; Amphibia; Anura; Pelobatidae
Source: the annotation of a GenBank genome assembly
GGGUGGGGGGGGGUGCCAAGCACAGGAUCCGCCCCGGGUGCCAAAUGCUCUAGGUACGCCCCUGGUUGGAGCAUUAGACUUUUUUAAGGGGUGCCCUCGAAGGCACGCUAGGGUACAGCCUUGAGACCAGGUAUUUGUCCUUUCUCUACUCCUACCUCCCCUCGUUAACCCGUUACCUGCCAUUUGCAGUUAGGUUUUUUUCACUUAUUUAUUUACAUUGUCUCCCUUUCCCUUUCCUCCCUCCUUCUUUCUCAGCAACAUUUGUGCUCAGGUCCCUGUAUCCACGUAAGCUAGCACGUAUGAGGAUUUGCUAUCAUUGGAUUUUCCCACAUUUUUGGGGAUUUUAAUAUACUAAUUAAAAGUUAUGUUUUAUUUUAUUCUAUCUAUGGGUUGGUCUCCUCACUUUAGAGGGCUGACUCAUGAGGGCUAAACUGUCUCAUCCUCCGAGUCUCCCCUUGGUUCUUUAUUUUUAUUAAUCCUUAUUUAUAGGGGUUACUCCCCACUGUUACGAGCACCCUGACAUAUCUUCCCUGCUUUCAUUUAUUUCUAUAAUACAAUCAUCUCCUAAAUACUUGUCCAACCUCAAGGUGUCCUUGUUGCUCAGUGAGAGACCGUGGUACAGGACAAAAUAGACUCCCAAAAACUCGAAGCUGUUACACAAACAGUAUACGUUUCAAAAAUAGACAUCUAGGAUACUCCCCAAGAUACUUCAUUAUUUUGAUGUUGCCAUUUUAUCACCAAUCACUUAAAAAUGUUGAUGGUACUUUACGUGUAUUUCACACACAAAUAUAAAUUAAUUUUGAAUGUUGGCUGUAAAUGUUAUGUCCAGGAUUUAUACAACUUCAAUUCAUCUUCCAAGAGUCCACAGUUUAAACAAUGUCUCUUCAAGUACUCAUGGACUGUACCACUACUAUGGAAAAAUGUUGCUAUUCACAAAUAGAACACUCAUCAGUCUCUGUCAAGCAGGGAGCAGGUUCACAGAGACAUGACAUGGUAUGAAGAUAAUUCUUCAUCAGUUAUUCAUAUAAUUAAUGGUUUAAAGUCCUUAUCCUUUAUUAUAAAAGCUCCUUACGCUCACAGUACGAAGACGUUCCCAUCAGUUCUCCCUAAUUGCUGUAGGUGUGGAGAAAUCUAUCUUGAGACAUUUAUUAACCCCUUAAGGACCACAGACAUACUAGGUAUGUCUGACAAAAAACGGUCCUUAAAGGAACACUAUAGUCACCUAAAUUACUUUAGCUAAAUAAAGCAGUUUUAGUGUAUAGAUCA